CAGAUAUUCCGCGCUCUCAGAAGUAUAUUAUAUGGUUUUGCGGCUUUCUUUGACGCUUGCAACCGGCAUCGCCUCAGCAUUUAUAAUCACGUACUGGGUUUUAUUCAAAGACAACCUGCCCAUGGAGUCCCGAGAUCACGAGUCUCAGAUCCGGGACGUAAUAAAUCAACAGAUGGACAUCAAUAUCUGACAGAGGCGAGCAGGAGUCCAAAGUAAAUGGAGUCUUAUCUCAUUGUGAUGACUUUUUAACUUGCACUUCCAUACGGAUAGGUUAGAGC
Molecule: long non-coding RNA, 278 nt
Organism: Hibiscus syriacus
Lineage: Eukaryota; Viridiplantae; Streptophyta; Magnoliopsida; Malvales; Malvaceae
Exons: 3
Source: RefSeq, a predicted model, not a curated record